UGUUUUUCGUUCUCAGAGUUGACGGCGGGAUGAUAGGAAUUAUGGGGUCCCCACCUUCUCCUAUCCCCUCCUGUACGAUAAAUUUUUGGUGGUUAGCUUCUGGUCAAUGACGGGUCUCAUCUUCUGCAUCUUGCUGAUUUAACUACAGGAACGGCGCCGUAUAAGGUCUAAGACGCAGAAAACGAGGUGUCGUUCUGAGAGAAAUUUGUUCCACUGCCUAAUGCUGUUUCUCCGUAAAUCAAGCUACUCUCCUUCUCUCCCUCCUUCUUGUUGCUGCUUCAAUUUGGUAAAGUGCCCUUUGAGGCGAUAGAGAGUAAUGAACGACCUCUCCAGUGCGGUGCUGAGAGAGCAGAAUAGCGAGAACUGCAAGCCAAUACCCAGAGUAGCCGUCUUCAUUUUAGUGGCUCUAUUCGCCAUUGGACUUUCGGUUUCGAUUUUCAUACUGAUUGUUGUCCAUAAUGCCAUCUUCUUUCUCUCUUUCCUGCUUAUCUCUGGCUUGGUUAUAUCUUUCAUAGCUUGGAACAGAGUUAAUUGGAGGCAUAAAGCUGCAGUUUUUCGCUUUCUUCGCUCCUUCCCUGACUCUGACCUUGCUUCUGCACGUGACGGUCAGCUCGUUAAAAUCACUGGGCUUGCUUCCUGUGGGAGUGUUUCCUUGGAAUCUUCAUAUGAAAGGGCUACUAGAUGUAUCUAUGCAUCUACACUUUUGUAUGAAUAUGGAGGAUUUGGACUCAAGCCAAAAGAUGCUAAUACAUCAUGCUUCCAGUGGAGUUUAACAUACUGUGAGAGAUAUUCCACCGACUUCUACAUAACGGAUAGAAAAUCUGGUAUCAGAGCUUUGGUGAAAGCUGGUCCUGGUUGUAAAGUUGUUCCCCUGAUUGUUGAGAGCAAACUAGUCGCUACUACAAGGCAAUGCAGAAUUCUGUCUCCUCACUUGAGGAAAUGGUUGCAAGACAGAAACCUCUCAGUUGAAGCCCGUCUACUGCGGUUAGAAGAAGGGUAUAUACAAGGAGGUAGCAUUGUGACUGUAAUUGGAGUGCUUCACAGAAAUGAUGACAUUUUGAUGAUUGUUCAACCACAAGAGCUUCUCUCUACAGGAUGCUUGUGGACAAAGCUUAUUCUUCCAAUUGAUAUUGAUGGACUGGUGGUAGGACUCUCUAAUCUGAGUGGCCCCAUCAGUAACCCAGAUUUCAGGCAACACACACAACAAUAAUGUUAACCUAUUAGACAAGUAUUAAGGAUUCUGAUUCAUAAAAUUGAUUCCUUCUAAAAAGACUACAAAAUCGAAACGUAUAUCAACAAAUGGGCCUAAUACGGCCCAUUUUCUGUUUUCAACAGCUCAAUCAAGCUCGCCAAAGAGGCUUUUAAUCGGCCCAAUCAACCUCCGGCAUACAAGAUAGUAUACAACAUCUCCCUUCUGAAGGAGCAAUCCGAACUCUGUUUCGAUUUGAAUUUUACAAUAAUAUAUUGCUAAUAUUUAUGA
This is a non-coding RNA of Jatropha curcas, 1480 nucleotides long. Lineage: Eukaryota; Viridiplantae; Streptophyta; Magnoliopsida; Malpighiales; Euphorbiaceae. The record is from RefSeq and is a predicted model, not a curated record.